This 336-nucleotide ribosomal RNA is filed under the name Olivierus caucasicus. Its description in RNAcentral is "Mesobuthus caucasicus partial 16S ribosomal RNA". The record is from RNAcentral. Lineage: Eukaryota; Metazoa; Arthropoda; Arachnida; Scorpiones; Buthidae.
CUUUUGCACUAAAGAGGACUUUUAAUUCAACAUCGAGGUCAUAAAAUCAUUAUUCAAUAAGGACUCUUUAAGUGAAUUAAUGCUGUUAUCCCUAAAGUAACUUAUUCUUCUUUUCAAAAUUUCAGAUAUUAACAAUUAUUAAGUCUAUAKAAUAAAAUAAAAGUUAUUAUCUCCUACCGCCCCAGGAAAAUAUCUACAUAGCUAUCUCUGAAAGUAGUGUAUAUGAAGUGUUAUAGGGUCUUCUCGUCUUUGGGAGUUAUUUUAGCCUUCUUACUAAAAAGUCAAUUUCGCUUUUUAUCCCAAAAAAGUCUUUUCCAGUUUAUCCCUUCAUCCCAG